CUCCCUGUGGCUCAGUUGGUAGAGCAUGGUGUUUGCAAUGGUGUUUGAAACGCCAGGGUUGUGGGUUCGAUUCCCACGGGGGGC
This 84-nucleotide transfer RNA is filed under the name Salmo salar (Atlantic salmon). It matches the Rfam family "tRNA". From Rfam's summary of the family: Transfer RNA (tRNA) molecules are approximately 80 nucleotides in length. Their secondary structure includes four short double-helical elements and three loops (D, anti-codon, and T loops). Lineage: Eukaryota; Metazoa; Chordata; Actinopteri; Salmoniformes; Salmonidae. The record is from Rfam by way of RNAcentral.